AUGUGUGACCUUCUGACCAGAAAAAAUAUGCAACUAGAUUCCACCCAAUGUGGAUUAUGUGAUGCUGAAGAUUAUGAAGACAGAAUGCAUCUUCUCUUCUCUUGCCCUUUCAGCCAGGGUUUUUGGUGGAGCAUUGGUCUUGAAUGGAGCACUGACCUGAAUAUUCAUGAUAUGAUUAUUGAAGCUCAUCAUAGAUAUAAACUACACCAUUUCAUGGAAAUUUUGAUUAUUGGAUGCUGGAGCAUAUGGAAUCAAAGAAAUGAUCUGAUAUUUGAAGGAAUCCCAUGCUCUAUCAAUGAUUGCAGAUAUGAAUUUAUCAAAACUUUCAAAUUGACUAUGCUAAGAGCCAAACCCAGUUUAAAGGAGGGCAUGUCAUCCUGGAUUGAUAACAUCUAA
RNAcentral lists this ribosomal RNA (396 nucleotides) under Triticum aestivum (bread wheat). RNAcentral's name for it is "partial small subunit ribosomal RNA". The record is from RNAcentral. Lineage: Eukaryota; Viridiplantae; Streptophyta; Magnoliopsida; Poales; Poaceae.